AGACUUUGAUCCUNGCUCAGGAUGAACGCUAGCGGCAGGCUUAAUACAUGCAAGUCGAGGGGCAGCACAGGUAGCAAUACUGGGUGGCGACCGGCAAACGGGUGCGGAACACGUACAGAACCUUCCUUUAAGUGGGGAAUAGCCCAGAGAAAUUUGGAUUAAUACCCCGUAACAUUAUGAAGUGGCAUCACCUUAUAAUUAUAGAUUUAUCGCUUAGAGAUGGCUGUGCGGCUGAUUAGGUAGUUGGCGGGGUAACGGCCCACCAAGCCUGCGAUCAGUAACUGGUGUGAGAGCACGACCAGUCACACGGGCACUGAGACACGGGCCCGACUCCUACGGGAGGCAGCAGUAAGGAAUAUUGGUCAAUGGACGAAAGUCUGAACCAGCCAUGCCGCGUGAAGGAUGAAGGUCCUCUGGAUUGUAAACUUCUUUUAUCUGGGACGAAACACUCUUAUUCUUAAGAGCUUGACGGUACCAGAGGAAUAAGCACCGGCUAACUCCGUGCCAGCAGCCGCGGUAAUACGGAGGGUAGCAAGCGUUAUCCGGAUUCACUGGGUUUAAAGGGUGCGUAGUGGGUCUGUAACGUCAGUGGUGAACAUCUCCGGGCUUAACCGGAAACUGCCAUUGAUAACUAUAGGUCUUGAAUUUUCUGGAGGUAAGCGGAAUAUGUCAUGUAGCGGUGAAA
Molecule: ribosomal RNA, 685 nt
Filed under: uncultured bacterium
Lineage: Bacteria
Description: bacterial SSU rRNA
Rfam family: Bacterial small subunit ribosomal RNA
Source: RNAcentral